RNAcentral lists this ribosomal RNA (496 nucleotides) under uncultured bacterium. RNAcentral's name for it is "partial 16S ribosomal RNA". It matches the Rfam family "Bacterial small subunit ribosomal RNA", at positions 28 to 506 of the family's 1533-position model. The record is from RNAcentral.
GAUGAACGCUGGCGGCGUGCCUAAUACAUGCAAGUCGAGCGAACAGAUGAGGAGCUUGCUCCUCUGACGUUAGCGGCGGACGGGUGAGUAACACGUGGAUAACCUACCUAUAAGACUGGGAUAACUUCGGGAAACCGGAGCUAAUACCGGAUAAUAUAUUGAACCGCGUGGUUCAAUAGUGAAAGACGGUUUUGCUGUCACUUAUAGAUGGAUCCGCGCCGCAUUAGCUAGUUGGUAAGGUAACGGCUUACCAAGGCGACGAUGCGUAGCCGACCUGAGAGGGUGAUCGGCCACACUGGAACUGAGACACGGUCCAGACUCCUACGGGAGGCAGCAGUAGGGAAUCUUCCGCAAUGGGCGAAAGCCUGACGGAGCAACGCCGCGUGAGUGAUGAAGGUCUUCGGAUCGUAAAACGCUGUUAUUAGGGAAGAACAAAUGUGUAAGUAACUAUGCACGUCUUGACGGUACCUAAUCAGAAAGCCACGGCUAACUACGU